AACGAACGCUGGCGGCAGGCCUAACACAUGCAAGUCGAGCGGGACCUUCGGGUCUAGCGGCGGACGGGUUAGUAACGCGUGGGAACGUGCCCAAAGGUACGGAAUAGCCUCGGGAAACUGAGAGUAAUACCGUAUGUGCCCCUCGGGGGAAAGAUUUAUCGCCUUUGGAUCGGCCCGCGUUGGAUUAGGUAGUUGGUGGGGUAAUGGCCUACCAAGCCGACGAUCCAUAGCUGGUUUGAGAGGAUGAUCAGCAACACUGGGACUGAGACACGGCCCAGACUCCUACGGGAGGCAGCAGUGGGGAAUCUUAGACAAUGGGGAAACCCUGAUCUAGCCAUGCCGCGUGAGCGAUGAAGGCCUUAGGGUUGUAAAGCUCUUUCAGAUGGGAAGAUAAUGACGGUACCAUCAGAAGAAGCCCCGGCUAACUCCGUGCCAGCAGCCCGCGGUAAAAAGUACUCUAU
This 461-nucleotide ribosomal RNA is filed under the name uncultured bacterium. RNAcentral describes it as "bacterial SSU rRNA". It matches the Rfam family "Bacterial small subunit ribosomal RNA", at positions 29 to 538 of the family's 1533-position model. The record is from RNAcentral.